GGGGAACAAGUCGCCUUUUAGAAAGAGCUCAGGGAUUGAUUUUUCCAUCCGUCACUUGAAUGAGUGGUUCUCUCCGGAGGGUGCAGGACCAGGCUGCUCUCUAAAUGCUGGGAGUGUCUAUGGAUUUGAAUAAUGGAUUAGGAAGUGCACAAACAUCACGAUCUUCAGUUUUCUCCUGCUGAAUCAGGACAGCUUGUCCAAAGCAUCAGAAAGGAAGCUUUCCUUUACCUUGGAAAUGCUGUGACAGGGGCCUGAAUAAUGACAUUGCAAUAGGGAGCAGGUCCCCAAAGACCAGUGUCGAAUGAGGCUGAACUGGAUCAGAGGCAGUCAGCGACAGUCACAACGGUGGAAGGAAACAUCUCCUCUCUCCUUCCAAACAAAGACCUGAGGGAGCAGCCGUACACGAGGCUAUGUAAACAGGACACUUCUUCUGAUCCCAGGAGUUAACAAAGACAGUGCCAGGAAAAUGAGUCACUCAAGCAUCGCCAUGAAAGCCACAGCUGAAGUUGGGGCUGAGUCAUCUGAGAAUCAGAUCUAAACUCACAUCCCUGCCUCCUCGUCCAGCUCCCCAGAUGGCGCAGGUGAAAUGGACUCCUAGCUUUGCCUCCUGUGAACAUUGGCUGUGGGGCUAAAUAAGCCAGAAGAGUCAGGACUUUUGUAAAGGAUUUUCUUAACUGUAAUUUUCCUCACUGAAUUAGCCCACUCAGACUCUCAGCCCUCCUUUCUAUCUCCAGGGCUAUCCAGACUGGUGUACAGACUGGGGAGAAACUGCACCCAAGAUGAUAGCAGACUCUGAGGAGUCCUCCAUAAGUGAUCCAUGAAAUGACCCAUGUGCCCGUCUGGCCACCUCAUCACCAUUGGGUGAAUAGCAAUCUGCGUACACAGAACACCUUUCCUCUGCCUCCUGAGGCAAGAACUUGGGUCUCCCAGAGCUCUCUUCAAUCUCUGACCACCAUAUUUCAUGCUGGCUCAGUCGGCCAGUGUGCCUAAGACAAGUCCUCGGCUAAAACAUAGUCAUUGCCGUCAAACAGCCAAUAGUCUUUAUGGUAAGAUAAAUUAUGUAAAGUAAUAACUUUCAAAGAUAACACAACAAGAAAAUAAAAGAAUUUAUAAUAGAGGAUCAAAGUGAGUAUAUAGAUAAAAGUUAUAGAAGACUCAAGUAUAAAAUUUAAAGAAAUAAUAUUUAUGUAUAUUAUUGGUCAGAGAGCACAACCUCCA
RNAcentral lists this long non-coding RNA (1218 nucleotides) under Equus caballus (horse). RNAcentral's name for it is "lncRNA (ENSECAG00000051568.1)". Lineage: Eukaryota; Metazoa; Chordata; Mammalia; Perissodactyla; Equidae. The record is from RNAcentral.